GAUGAACGCUGGCGGCGUGCCUAAUACAUGCAAGUCGAGCGAACAGACGAGGAGCUUGCUCCUCUGACGUUAGCGGCGGACGGGUGAGUAACACGUGGAUAACCUACCUAUAAGACUGGGAUAACUUCGGGAAACCGGAGCUAAUACCGGAUAAUAUAUUGAACCGCAUGGUUCAAUAGUGAAAGACGGUUUUGCUGUCACUUAUAGAUGGAUCCGCGCCGCAUUAGCUAGUUGGUAAGGUAACGGCUUACCAAGGCAACGAUGCGUAGCCGACCUGAGAGGGUGAUCGGCCACACUGGAACUGAGACACGGUCCAGACUCCUACGGGAGGCAGCAGUAGGGAAUCUUCCGCAAUGGGCGAAAGCCUGACGGAGCAACGCCGCGUGAGUGAUGAAGGUCUUCGGAUCGUAAAACUCUGUUAUUAGGGAAGAACAAAUGUGUAAGUAACUAUGCACGUCUUGACGGUACCUACUCAGAAAGCCACGGCUAACUACGUG
Molecule: ribosomal RNA, 497 nt
Filed under: uncultured bacterium
Lineage: Bacteria
Description: partial 16S ribosomal RNA
Rfam family: Bacterial small subunit ribosomal RNA
Source: RNAcentral